CAUGGCCACCUAAGCAGACUUGAUUGGAGGUGGAAUCUUAAAAAAAGGAAGGAAAUCCUGUAUAUGUGACACCAUGGACGAAAUUGGAGGACAUUAUGCUAACUGAAAAAGGCCAGUCACAGAAAGACAACUACUGUAUGCUUCUGCUUAUAUGAGGUAAAGUGAGGAGUUGGGAAAGAAAGGAAAACAUAAGAUGAGAUCUCUCUAUGAACAAGUGACGGUUUGAAGUGGGUCACCUCAUUGCCAUCGCAUAAGCACCUUAUUGCACCAACCCAAGGAAUCACUUGCAAGUGAACAGUGAAGGUUCAAUAAGGAUGGAAAAGAGUACUGAUAGCAAUUUGGAAGCAAAUGUAAGGAGUGCAUACUUUUCUUUAAAAGGUUAUUUCGUGCUUCCUCUCUUCCACACGAUCAAGAUCUUCAAAGUAAGCAUCUUUCAAAGGAGCGACAAGCAAAAUACAGCUGCAGGAUCAGUAACUCCCUGUUAAGCAGCUUUGCCUGCUGUCACUAUUGACUGCUGGAGGUGGUGAUCCAUGUCAGUCACUAAAACGACACCUUGGCAAGACUGCAAUCUGCUCCCAGGGUUUUUGUGUAUGGGAACACUUAGAUAAUGAGAUUUUCAUAUAUUCCCAGCAGCUCACACAGUGCCUGGAAAAGAGUCCCCCAGAGCCUCAGAAAACUGAGGGCAGCCUGUGUCAAGGGAACUCAGUGAUGGUGAUUCAUGGUUCCUGACUCCUUCCUAAACUGCUUUCUGGAUUCUCUUUGUCCACAGUCUUUCCUAGGUGAGCAACUCGAAAGAGGUCAGAAAGGGGAAGGAAUCCUGAUGAUACUUGGCAUCAUACUGUAAUACAUGGUAGAAUGGAUUCUUUUUAAAUGUCCAGUAAGUGAAUUGGGAAGAAUUGGAGGGUAGUGGACUGACAUACCAAAGUACAUAUCUAGCAAAAUUAAGGAAAGCAAACACUUAGUUUUAACCAACAAGGUCACAGUAAACAGGCUUUGGUACAAGAUUUGGAAAGUCUUAGAUUCAAGUGCUAGCUUCACCAUAGCCAGCUGUGUGACUAGUAUCAUUUACCUACCUCUCUCUGAGCAUUAGUUUCUUUAUAACAUAGGCACGGUCUCUGCUGUGCUCUCCUUACAUGGUUGCCAUAAGGAUUAAAUUAGAUUACAAAAGUGAAAUAACAUUUUAUAUUAUUAGGUGAUAUAUAAAUGUUAUUGUAUGCGUUGAGCUGCUUUAAUAUGUAUUUAUGUGAAUGCCUUUUGUGUUUCACU
Long non-coding RNA from Acinonyx jubatus (cheetah), 1266 nucleotides. RefSeq lists it as uncharacterized. The transcript is spliced from 6 exons. NCBI's taxonomy places the organism in Eukaryota, Metazoa, Chordata, Mammalia, Carnivora, Felidae. The record is from RefSeq and is a predicted model, not a curated record.